GAAGAUUAAAGUAAGUGAUGGUAAUAAUAAUGGUAGUGAUUUAUAGAGUAACCAUCCACGUAUAAAUUAAAAAAAGCAUAUCUAUUAAGACAUUGGAGCAAAGAUAGCACUAGUGGGUUAAGAGGAUAGUUUGUGUAGGAGUGGCUAAAGUAGACAACAAGUUAGUAAUAAAAGACUUUUAGACAGUGUCCCCACUGAGAAUUAAAAGGGGAGAGAAGCAUAAUCAUUUUAGCGAAGAUGGGGAAGUUGGGUUUGCAAUCACAAUCCCAAAGAAUCAAUUAAUGGAAUGGGCAAGACUAUAAGUCAUAUUCGGAAGUAUAUUAUGUAAGUGGGAGGGUGAUGCUUACACUUGAACACUCCAAUCUGUCAAAAGGGCAGAGAAAAAGAAUAGUUGCAAAUGUUCCUCCUUUUCAUAUAUAUAUAGUUUUUUUCUUAUUUUCUUCAGUUCCUCUCUGCCAUUGAAAGACGUGUUAUGAGGGUAUUCAUGAGAAGCAAGAAUUGGAUGGUUUGAAUUUGUCAAGUGUGGGAGGUUUGGACUUUGUGAUUCACGUUUAUUAUAGUCAAUGUCAAAAAGCCAUAAUUAGAUGACUAAGUUGAUGUCCCAAUCUUCCAAUGACCAAAUUGACAUUUAAAAAAAGAUUCCACAAAUAAUAUAUAGCUCUAUGUUAUACAAUAGUAUUAAUCAUU
RNAcentral lists this long non-coding RNA (687 nucleotides) under Vigna radiata. RNAcentral describes it as "long non-coding RNA (VRAD_LNC016217)". The record is from RNAcentral. Lineage: Eukaryota; Viridiplantae; Streptophyta; Magnoliopsida; Fabales; Fabaceae.